GAUGAACGCUAGCUACAGGCUUAACACAUGCAAGUCGAGGGACCGGCGCACGGGUGAGUAACACGUAUCCAACCUGCCCUUUAAUCGGGGAUAGCCUUUCGAAAGAAAGAUUAAUACCCGAUAUAAAGGAUGGGGAUGCGUUCCAUUAGCUAGUAGGUGGGGUAACGGCCCACCUAGGCGACGAUCCCUAGCUGGUCGGAGAGGAUGACCAGCCACACUGGAACGUAGACACUGUCCAAACUCCUACGGGAGGCAGCAGGGAGGAAUAUUGGUCAAUGGGCGCGAGCCUGAACCAGCCAAGUAGCGUGAAGGAUGAAGGCUUAUGGGUCGUAAACUUCUUUUAUAUAAGAAUAUGUAUUAUAUGAAUAAGGAUCGGCUAACUCCGUGCCAGCAGCCGCGGUAAUAC
Molecule: ribosomal RNA, 406 nt
Filed under: uncultured bacterium
Lineage: Bacteria
Description: partial 16S ribosomal RNA
Rfam family: Bacterial small subunit ribosomal RNA
Source: RNAcentral